ACAGCCAUACCACCCUGAAUGCACCCGAUCUUGUCUGAUCUCAGAAGCUAAGCAGGGUCGAGCAUGGCUAGUACUUGGAUGGGAGACUAUUCUCCAUUUUCUAAGAGCACUGUU
RNAcentral lists this ribosomal RNA (114 nucleotides) under Aotus nancymaae (Ma's night monkey). The record is from RNAcentral. Lineage: Eukaryota; Metazoa; Chordata; Mammalia; Primates; Aotidae.